CGGCGGACGGGUGAGUAACGCGUGGGUAACCUGCCUCAUACAGGGGGAUAACAGUUAGAAAUGACUGCUAAUACCGCAUAAGACCACAGCACCGCAUGGUGCGGGGGUAAAAACUCCGGUGGUAUGAGAUGGACCCGCGUCUGAUUAGCUAGUUGGUGAGGUAACGGCCCACCAAGGCGACGAUCGGUAGCCGGACUGAGAGGUUGAACGGCCACAUUGGGACUGAGACACGGCCCAG
RNAcentral lists this ribosomal RNA (238 nucleotides) under uncultured bacterium. Its description in RNAcentral is "partial 16S ribosomal RNA". It matches the Rfam family "Bacterial small subunit ribosomal RNA", at positions 96 to 334 of the family's 1533-position model. The record is from RNAcentral.